This 341-nucleotide unclassified non-coding RNA is filed under the name soil metagenome. Its description in RNAcentral is "partial contains 5.8S ribosomal RNA, internal transcribed spacer 2, and large subunit ribosomal RNA". The stretch from base 1 to 120 matches the Rfam family "5.8S ribosomal RNA", at positions 35 to 154 of the family's 154-position model. The record is from RNAcentral.
GAUGAAGAACGUAGCGAAAUGCGAUAAGUAAUGCGAAUUGCAGAAUUCAGUGAGUCAUCGAAUCUUUGAACGCACAUUGCGCCCUUUGGUAUUCCAAAGGGCAUGCCUGUUCGAGCGUCAUUUGUACCCUCAAGCUUUGCUUGGUGUUGGGCGUCUUGUCUCUAGCUUUGCUGGAGACUCGCCUUAAAGUAAUUGGCAGCCGGCCUACUGGUUUCGGAGCGCAGCACAAGUCGCACUCUCUAUCAGCAAAGGUCUAGCAUCCAUUAAGCCUUUUUUUCAACUUUUGACCUCGGAUCAGGUAGGGAUACCCGCUGAACUUAAGCAUAUCAAUAAGCGGAGGA